AUCACCUGCAUCAACAGAAAACAAAAAUGACCAAACUGGGACUAAUAAAAAUGGUACUACAUUGGCUUGAAAAGUAUAGAAUUUGUAUGAAUCAUUUUCUUUAACUGGUUCAGUGUUGGAAACAAGAAAAUAUAGAAUAUCAAAGGUUUUCUUUUUCUGAGCACAUUCCUUAAACCAUAUGUUCACCAAUCUGUACACUAGAUUUGAUCAGUUUUCAGGAAUUCAAAAUAUCUUAAAUUUUCUUUUCUAUUCAAUAAGUGGAUUAAGACUAAGAACGACUGAUGGAUUUCGGUGAAGAAAACCAUCAACCAGCAGUGUGUACUUUAAAAACUUAUUUUACAAAAAUUGGGUAAACCCCGCACACAUAAUGUGAGGGAUAAAUUGGCCUAAACUUGUAAAUCCUUGAUUUUAUGUUUUUACAAAUACAAAGUACUUGCAGCAUAAUUUUUCUCCUUUGCUCACAGCAAACUGGAAAAGCACUUUAUGCUUAUAUCACCACUUCCAUUUAAAGUUUUACCAUCAGUAUUUUGUUUUCUGAGUUGUAGAAUCAAAACAAAACAAAACAUUCAGACAAUGCAUUUUGGCCUUUUGAUUGGAUAGAAGACCUCCGAAUUUUAUACCAUAACAACACAAUGAACAUUUCCACUGUUUGUUUUGUUAAAACCAUUGUUGGCCAAUUUUAGUAUUUUGCAAUAGCCUGAAAGUUGAAACCUCUCAACAGUUUCAGAAGCAGUUGAGAAGUUGCAAAGGUUUUGUUUCUAGAAUAAAGCACCCAAUUUAACCAAUGAAUAAUUAAUAAGGACAGUUAGUGCAUAAAAGCUGCUAUAUGGUAGCAUUAGCACAUUAUUAAAGCUGAAAGGACAACGACAGAUACCACAGAUCCUGGGUCUCACUGCCUCACCUGGGACAGGAGGUGCAACGGUUCUGGAAGAUGCUGUGAAUCAUGUGCUGGAGAUCUGUGCCAACUUAGACUCAGUUAUUGUCUCAAAC
Long non-coding RNA from Gambusia affinis (western mosquitofish), 990 nucleotides. RefSeq lists it as uncharacterized. Lineage: Eukaryota; Metazoa; Chordata; Actinopteri; Cyprinodontiformes; Poeciliidae. The transcript has 2 exons. The record is from RefSeq and is a predicted model, not a curated record.